GACAGAGGCCUCGAGCGUUAGGCGGAAUCACUGGGCUUAAAGCGUGUGUAGGCGGAUCGUUAAGUACCUUGUGAAAUCCCACGGCUCAACCGUGGAACGGCUGGGUAUACUGGCGGUCUUGGGCCAUUCAGGGGCGACUGGAACAAGCGGUGGAGCGGUGAAAUGCGUAGAUAUCGCUUGGAACGCCGAAGGUGAAAACAGGUCGCUGGGGAUGUGCCGACGCUGAGGACGAAAGCCAGGGUGGGACAAACGGG
This 254-nucleotide ribosomal RNA is filed under the name uncultured bacterium. Its description in RNAcentral is "partial 16S ribosomal RNA". It matches the Rfam family "Bacterial small subunit ribosomal RNA", at positions 524 to 776 of the family's 1533-position model. The record is from RNAcentral.